GUGCCAGCCGCCGCGGUAAAACGUAGGACACAAGCGUUAUCCGGAGUUACUGGGCGUAAAGGGCGUGUAGGCGGAUGGAUAAGUCUAUUCUGAAAGCUCCUGGCUAAACUGGGAGAGGCGAAUGGAGACUGUUUAUCUAGAGUGAGGAAGAGGAAAGUGGAAUUCCGCGUGUAGUGGUGAAAUGCGUAGAGAUGCGGAGGAACACCAGUGGCGAAAGCGACUUUCUGGUCCUUAACUGACGCUGAGGCGCGAAAGCAUGGGGAGCGAACGGGAUUAGAAACCCUUGUAGUCC
This 292-nucleotide ribosomal RNA is filed under the name uncultured bacterium. Its description in RNAcentral is "partial 16S ribosomal RNA". It matches the Rfam family "Bacterial small subunit ribosomal RNA", at positions 505 to 796 of the family's 1533-position model. The record is from RNAcentral.